CCGCGCUAGGUGGGGAGCUAGCGGUGCCCUGGAACCGCAAUCCGCUACAGCGGGCUGAAUACCUGCCUGAGGGUUGCCACCGUCGUGUCUGCCGCCGUUGAUCGGUGCUGACGGCUGGGCCUCGUGCGACGAAGACCUCCUAACCCCGUCAGGUCCGAGAGGAAGCAGCGGUACGGAGCCAUCUUUGGGUGCCGCGGGAUCACCUGGCUCGAGCCGGCGGCGUCGGUAAGGCGGCGGCCGGUGCUCAACGGCAGGGCGCGG
Molecule: signal recognition particle RNA, 261 nt
Filed under: Chloroflexota bacterium
Lineage: Bacteria; Bacillati; Chloroflexota
Description: Chloroflexi bacterium signal recognition particle sRNA large type
Rfam family: Bacterial large signal recognition particle RNA
About the family: The signal recognition particle (SRP) is a universally conserved ribonucleoprotein involved in the co-translational targeting of proteins to membranes. Archaeal SRP consists of a 7S RNA and homologues of the eukaryotic SRP19 and SRP54 proteins.
Source: RNAcentral